RNAcentral lists this unclassified non-coding RNA (484 nucleotides) under Hevea brasiliensis (rubber tree). The record is from RNAcentral. Lineage: Eukaryota; Viridiplantae; Streptophyta; Magnoliopsida; Malpighiales; Euphorbiaceae.
CGAUAAAUAUUUUAUACAAGAGAAAAAUAGAUAAGAUAAAGGGCACAGUAGUCAUUUUAACAUUUUAUUUUGAACUCUGUCUUGCCUAUUUUACACUAAACAUUACACUGGACAACAAUUUUCUUUGUCCCAUCUUGUCCAAAUUCAGCCAAUGGAUACAGCUUCUCCAAACCUUAACUUGUUUCUGAAACUCCCAAUUCAACAAGUUAGUAUUUUCAAUGUUUUUGCAACUGUAAAGGGGCAAUAGCAAUAUAGACUAAAAUAGCAUCACUGUAUCAUUAAACCAACUCUGAACUAAAUAAUUAAUGAAAAAAUCCUAAUUUUUAUUUUACUGGAUAGCAAAUAGCAUUAAUUAAAAUCCUAAACUUAUGCAGGAAAAAAGCCAAAAUAAAACCCUUAAAGCAUUAAGAAGCUGUUUAACAGAACAUUAGAACUUAUCAGCAAUUAAAUAAGAGCAUCUAUUACACUGGUUGUGAUGCAGCCA